GCGCGAGUGGCGGAAUUGGUAGACGCGCAGCGUUGAGGUCGCUGUGUCCGCAAGGACGUGGGGGUUCAAGUCCCCCCUCGCGCACCA
Molecule: transfer RNA, 87 nt
Filed under: Micrococcus luteus
Lineage: Bacteria; Bacillati; Actinomycetota; Actinomycetes; Micrococcales; Micrococcaceae
Also listed under: 1 other name
Description: tRNA-Leu
Rfam family: tRNA
About the family: Transfer RNA (tRNA) molecules are approximately 80 nucleotides in length. Their secondary structure includes four short double-helical elements and three loops (D, anti-codon, and T loops).
Source: RNAcentral